Molecule: ribosomal RNA, 858 nt
Filed under: uncultured bacterium
Lineage: Bacteria
Description: SSU rRNA
Rfam family: Bacterial small subunit ribosomal RNA
Source: RNAcentral
UACGUAGGGUGCAAGCGUUGUCCGGAAUUAUUGGGCGUAAAGAGCUCGUAGGCGGUUUGUCACGUCUGCUGUGAAAAUCCAAGGCUCAACCUUGGACUUGCAGUGGGUACGGGCAGGCUAGAGUGCGGUAGGGGAGAUGGGAAUUCCUGGUGUAGCGGUGGAAUGCGCAGAUAUCAGGAGGAACACCAAUGGCGAAGGCACAUCUCUGGGCCGUAACUGACGCUGAGGAGCGAAAGCGUGGGGAGCGAACAGGAUUAGAUACCCUGGUAGUCCACGCCGUAAACGGUGGGUGCUAGCUGUGGGCCACAUUCCACGUGGUCCGUGACGAAGUUAACACAUUAAGCACCCCGCCUGGGGAGUACGGCCGCAAGGCUAAAACUCAAAGGAAUUGACGGGGGCCCGCACAAGCGGCGGAGCAUGCGGACUAAUUCGAUGCAACGCGAAGAACCUUACCAAGGCUUGACAUAUAGAGGAAAAGUGCAGAAAUGCACUCCCCGCAAGGUCUCUAUACAGGUGGUGCAUGGUUGUCGUCAGCUCGUGUCGUGAGAUGUUGGGUUAAGUCCCGCAACGAGCGCAACCCUCGUCCUAUGUUGCCAGCACGUAAUGGUGGGAACUCAUGGGAUACUGCCGGGGUCAACUCGGAGGAAGGUGGGGAUGACGUCAAAUCAUCAUGCCCCUUAUGUCUUGGGCUUCACGCAUGCUACAAUGGCCGGUACAGAGGGCUGCAAUACCGCAAGGUGGAGCGAAUCCCAAAAAGCCGGUCUCAGUUCGGAUUGAGGUCUGCAACUCGACCUCAUGAAGUCGGAGUCGCUAGUAAUCGUAGAUCAGCAACGCUACGGUGAAUACGUUCCCGGGCCU